This is a long non-coding RNA of Panicum virgatum (switchgrass), 836 nucleotides long. RefSeq lists it as uncharacterized. The transcript has 2 exons. The record is from RefSeq and is a predicted model, not a curated record. Lineage: Eukaryota; Viridiplantae; Streptophyta; Magnoliopsida; Poales; Poaceae.
AUCAGUAAAGAGCGUACGCCCGCUGGCACUGACGAGUAAUAUGUGCAGACGAGCGAGGUCGCGGCCCCGGCACUCUCAGACACCCACUUCAAUCGAUGACAACCAUUUUAAGUUGCUCUGCUUCACACGAUUGUGAGCAAAUGAUUCUGAAUGAAUGGUUGUUUCUCUCGUCAAGCUCGACUGCCCACCAUCGGCAAGCACCUCACUGCUGGGGAGAUUUCUGCACAGAAGCUCAAGUAUAUCUCGCAUCCGAGCAUCAGUUGCUUCAAAUAGGAAAGUAGAGCUUGUGGUGCCAAAGCUAAUGCAGAGCUGUGCAAAGGGUAUCAUAGAGGACUCUCUGCUUGCUGACUGAAUUUGUUGUCAUCUAACACUGGACCAAGUUGCCAAAUCUGAAUGUUUAAGCAGUUGAGAAUUCCAAUCUAAGGUUAGUUAGUUCAAAUGUGUAUAUACUUUAAAUUGAUUGCUAUAUAUUUUUACUUCAAUGUUGUAUGAUCUGAAUGUUUUAGCUCAUCUCAUCAAAUUUGUAUUUUUAAUAGAAACAUGUUUAGUAUUUUAAAUUUUUAAGACUUGCUUGUCUUGUUCUUGUUCUGCUAAAAUGUGAUCGAGUGAUAAGUAAACGGAGCAAGCUAAAGAGUUGGUGGAGUACCAAGUAUUAUUUUGUUUCCUUCUAAUUGUGAUGAUGAUUUGCUAAUUAGAACAAAUUAGAGGAGUUAAAAGUUUUUGAUAUAAAAUUUAUAAGUUAAUUUUUUAUGACAGAUUGCUAAUGUAGGGAACUUCGAUGGAGAUUAUUAAGUCUCAUAAUUAAGUUAACAUUGUGCAGCACUAUUUCAGUUUCA